UGGCGGCCUAUACUGCAGUCGAGGGGUAGAGGAGAGCUUGCUUUCCUUGAGACCGGCGCACGGGUGCGUAACGCGUAUGCAACCUACCUUAAUCUGGGGGAUAGCCUCUCGAAAGAGAGAUUAACACCGCAUAAAAUCAAAGAACGGCAUCGUUUAAUGAUCAAAUAUUUAUAGGAUUAAGAUGGGCAUGCGUGACAUUAGCUAGUUGGUGAGGUAACGGCUCACCAAGGCGACGAUGUCUAGGGGAUCUGAGAGGAUGACCCCCCACACUGGUACUGAGACACGGACCAGACUCCUACGGGAGGCAGCAGUAAGGAAUAUUGGUCAAUGGAGGCAACUCUGAACCAGCCAUGCCGCGUGCAGGAAGACGGCCCUACGGGUUGUAAACUGCUUUUAUUCGGGAAUAAACCUCUUUACGUGUAAAGAGUUGAAUGUACCGAAAGAAUAAGGAUCGGCUAACUCCGUGCCAGCAGCCGCGGUAAUACGGAGGAUCCAAGCGUUAUCCGGAUUUAUUGGGUUUAAAGGGUGCGUAGGCGGCUUAUUAAGUCAGGGGUGAAAGACGGUGGCUCAACCAUCGCAGUGCCUUUGAUACUGAUGAGCUUGAAUACACUAGAGGUAGGCGGAAUGUGACAAGUAGCGGUGAAAUGCAUAGAUAUGUCACAGAACACCAAUUGCGAAGGCAGCUUACUAUGGUGUCAUUGACGCUGAGGCACGAAAGCGUGGGGAUCAAACAGGAUUAGAUACCCUGGUAGUCCACGCCCUAAACGAUGAAUACUCGAUGUUAGCGAUAUACAGUUAGCGUCUAAGCGAAAGCGUUAAGUAUUCCACCCUGGGAGUA
RNAcentral lists this ribosomal RNA (838 nucleotides) under Pedobacter sp. RODV5. RNAcentral's name for it is "bacterial SSU rRNA". It matches the Rfam family "Bacterial small subunit ribosomal RNA", at positions 40 to 882 of the family's 1533-position model. Lineage: Bacteria; Pseudomonadati; Bacteroidota; Sphingobacteriia; Sphingobacteriales; Sphingobacteriaceae. The record is from RNAcentral.